RNAcentral lists this ribosomal RNA (503 nucleotides) under uncultured bacterium. Its description in RNAcentral is "bacterial SSU rRNA". It matches the Rfam family "Bacterial small subunit ribosomal RNA", at positions 348 to 870 of the family's 1533-position model. The record is from RNAcentral.
GCAGCAGUGGGGAAUCUUAGACAAUGGGCGAAAGCCUGAUCUAGCCAUGCCGCGUGAGUGAUGAAGGUCUUAGGAUCGUAAAGCUCUUUCGCUAGGGAUGAUAAUGACAGUACCUAGUAAAGAAGCCCCGGCUAACUCCGUGCCAGCAGCCGCGGAAUACGGAGGGGGCUAGCGUUGUUCGGAAUUACUGGGCGUAAAGCGUACGUAGGCGGAUCAGAAAGUAUGGGGUGAAAUCCCAGGGCUUAACCCUGGAACUGCCUCAUAAACUCCUGGUCUUGAGUUCGAGAGAGGUAAGUGGAAUUCCAAGUGUAGAGGUGAAAUUCGUAGAUAUUUGGAGGAACACCAGUGGCGAAGGCGGCUUACUGGCUCGAUACUGACGCUGAGGUACGAAAGUGUGGGGAGCAAACAGGAUUAGAUACCCUGGUAGUCCACACCGUAAACGAUGAAUGCCAGUCGUCGGGUAGCAUGCUAUUCGGUGACACACCUAACGGAUUAAGCAUUCC